Molecule: ribosomal RNA, 1301 nt
Filed under: human gut metagenome
Description: bacterial LSU rRNA
Rfam family: Bacterial large subunit ribosomal RNA
Source: RNAcentral
GGCUUAGAAGCAGCCACUCAUUUAAAGAGUGCGUAAUAGCUCACUGGUCGAGUGACCCUGCGCGGAAAAUUCAACGGGGCUAAAAUCAUAACCGAAGCUUGGGAUGCAUUAAUGCAUGGUAGGGGAGCGUUGUGUAAGGGGUGAAGUCACAGCGAAAGCGGUGGUGGACAUUACACAAGUGAGAAUGCCGGAAUGAGUAGCGCGAAUUGUGUGAGAAUCAUAAUGGCCGAAAGUCUAAGGUUUUUGGAGGAAGGUUCGUCCGCUCCAAGUUAGUCGGGAGCUAAGGUCAGGCCGAAAGGCGUAGCCGAUGCACAUACGGUAGAGAUUCCGUAACCGUCAAAAGAUUUAAGCAAAGGGACACUUUGGGAAGGUACAAGCCAGGCGUUGGUAGCCCUGGCCGUAAGGGACUGAAGUUUAGUAGGGAAGUGUACUGGAACAGAGGCGAGAAAAGCUUUGUGUAUAUCUGAGAUGCCCGUACCGCAAACCGACACAGGUAGAUGGGAAGAGAAUUCUAAGGCCAACGGGAGAAGGGUUGUUAAGGAACUCGGCAAGUUGACCCCGUAACUUCGGAAUAAGGGGUGCUCAUGAAAGUGAGCCGCAGAGAAUAGGCCCAGGCAACUGUUUACCAAAAACACAGGUUUGUGCUAAAUCGAAAGAUGACGUAUACGAGCUGACGCCUGCCCGGUGCUGGAAGGUUAAAAGGAGAUGUGCAAGCAUUGAAUUGAAGCCCCAGUGAACGGCGGCCGUAACUAUAACGGUCCUAAGGUAGCGAAAUUCCUUGUCAGGUAAGUUCUGACCCGCACGAAUGGUGUAAUGAUUUGGGCACUGUCUCAACAGCCCGCCCGGCGAAAUUGUAGUACCGGUGAAGAUGCCGGUUACCCGCGACAAGACGGAAAGACCCCAUGGAGCUUUACUGUAGCUUAAUAUUGGAUUUUGAUAUUUCAUGUACAGAAUAGGUGGGAGACUGAGAAGCAGAGGCGUCAGCUUCUGUGGAGUCGCCUUUGGGAUACCACUCUUGAAGUGUUGAAAUUCUAACCUGCAGCCAUGAAACUGGCUGGGGGACAUUGUUAGGUGGGCAGUUUGACUGGGGCGGUCGCCUCCAAAAAGGUAUCGGAGGCGCUCAAAGGUUCGCUCAGCAUGGACGGAAACCAUGCCCCUGAGUGUAAACGCAAAAGCGAGCCUAACUGCGAGACUGACGGGUCGAGCAGUAACGAAAGUUGGAGUUAGUGAUCCGGCGGUAUGUGAGUGGAAAUGCCGUCGCUCAACGGAUAAAAGCUACCCUGGGGAUAACAGGCUGAUCU